AGGAAACCGGAGCACCCGGAGGAAACCCACGCGGUCACAGGGAAAACGUGCAAACUCCACACGGACAGUAUCCGAGUUCAGGAUCGA
This is a long non-coding RNA of Amblyraja radiata (thorny skate), 87 nucleotides long. RefSeq lists it as uncharacterized. The record is from RefSeq and is a predicted model, not a curated record. Lineage: Eukaryota; Metazoa; Chordata; Chondrichthyes; Rajiformes; Rajidae. The transcript has 3 exons.